Chlorocebus sabaeus (green monkey) is the source of this 309-nucleotide long non-coding RNA. RefSeq lists it as uncharacterized. The record is from RefSeq and is a predicted model, not a curated record. NCBI's taxonomy places the organism in Eukaryota, Metazoa, Chordata, Mammalia, Primates, Cercopithecidae.
GGCGGAACUGACGUUGGACUCGCGCCUCCCGGGUGCCAGAGUUCGUGUAGACUCCGGUGCUGGAGCUGUAUGCUGCUGCUGCUCUCCCAGCUUCCCAGGAAUCUCUGAGGACAAAUGGGAAUUCUCACUGAUUUCUAGGACUACCCUGGGGCAGUUCCCUGGAUUUACCAGGAUUAAGUUGUCAUUUUUAAAAUGGGGCCAUGACUGUUUACCUCACAGGAUCAUUGUGAUAACAGAGGCAGUGUACACAAGGAGGAAUGGUGGCACCUAGUAGGUGCAUAAUCAAUAAAGUCAGUUACUCCUCCCCAA